This 530-nucleotide ribosomal RNA is filed under the name uncultured bacterium. RNAcentral describes it as "bacterial SSU rRNA". It matches the Rfam family "Bacterial small subunit ribosomal RNA", at positions 338 to 857 of the family's 1533-position model. The record is from RNAcentral.
CCUACGGGAGGCAGCAGUGGGGAAUUUUGGACAAUGGGCGAAAGCCUGAUCCAGCAAUGCCGCGUGAGUGAAGAAGGCCUUCGGGUUGUAAAGCUCUUUUGUCAGGGAAGAAACGGUGAAGGCUAAUAUCCUUUGCUAAUGACGGUACCUGAAGAAUAAGCACCGGCUAACUACGUGCCAGCAGCCGCGGUAAUACGUAGGGUGCAAGCGUUAAUCGGAAUUACUGGGCGUAAAGCGUGCGCAGGCGGUUUUGUAAGUCUGAUGUGAAAUCCCCGGGCUCAACCUGGGAAUUGCAUUGGAGACUGCAAGGCUAGAAUCUGGCAGAGGGGGGUAGAAUUCCACGUGUAGCAGUGAAAUGCGUAGAUAUGUGGAGGAACACCGAUGGCGAAGGCAGCCCCCUGGGUCAAGAUUGACGCUCAUGCACGAAAGCGUGGGGGAGGCAACAGAGUAGAUACCUACGGUAGUCCGACCGCCCGUAACCGAACUAGUCUACUAGUUAGUUCGGGUUCGUUAUUAGUACUUGGUUAACG